This 730-nucleotide long non-coding RNA is filed under the name Homo sapiens (human). Its description in RNAcentral is "non-protein coding lnc-CHM-2:1". Lineage: Eukaryota; Metazoa; Chordata; Mammalia; Primates; Hominidae. The record is from RNAcentral.
GAGGUAAACCAAGAUUUCAUUUUCAAGAUGGAAAGUCAGUCAGACUCAGCUGUGGUUUUGCCUAGUACUCCACAGGCCUUUGUGAAUCCAUCAUCUCCCCGUACAACUAGUUCAUGAAAACAACCUAUGAGUGCAACACUUAAAGAAAGAUUAAGGAAAACAAGAUCUUCAUUUAAUUCCUGUUACAAUGUGAUAAAACGUCUUAAAGUAGAGAAUGAAGAAAACAAUCAGAACUUUUCAGAGAAACCAGCGUAUUCCACAGAGGAAAACUGUUUGGAAUUUCAAGAAAAUUUUAAACACAUAGACAAGUGAAUUUGAAGAAAUCACAUAUUUGAAAAAUACCUUCAAGAAUAUCAAUGUGAGUGAAUCUCAGUCACUUGAUUCUGUGUCAUUCAGUGCUCUCCAAAAUGAGUUUGUGAAUUAGAAUCUUCCUAAACAAGAAUUAAACGAAGAAAAAGCAAAAUUGGUGAAGCAGGUUCAGGAGAAAGAAGACUUUCUUUUGGAGGCGAAAUCUUGUCCAAAUGUAUAUAGAUCAAAGAAUGUUGAUCGUCUCAGUUACAGUUGUUAAUAAAGAAGUAGAGAAGCUGUAGCCAGCCGUUGCUUUAUGAGUUGUAGUCAGCUAUGUCUGCAGAGAACAAGAAAGUAAACCUACUCAAUUGAUAGACCACUAUGGAUUAGAUAAUAAAUUGCUACACUGUAACAGAAGUGAAGAAGAAUUUAUAGGUGUUUA